GACGAACGCUGGCGGCGUGCUUAACACAUGCAAGUCGAGCGGAAAGGCCCUUCGGGGUCCUCGAGCGGCGAACGGGUGAGUAACACGUGAGUAACCUGCCCCAGACUUUGGGAUAACCCUCGGAAACGGGGGCUAAUACCGGAUACGACACAGCUUCGCAUGGGGUCUGUGUGGAAAGUUUUUCGGUUUGGGAUGGGCUCGCGGCCUAUCAGCUUGUUGGUGGGGUGAUGGCCUACCAAGGCGACGACGGGUAGCCGGCCUGAGAGGGCGACCGGCCACACUGGGACUGAGACACGGCCCAGACUCCUUCGGGAGGCAGCAGUGGGGAAUAUUGCACAAUGGGCGGAAGCCUGAUGCAGCGACGCCGCGUGAGGGAUGACGGCCUUCGGGUUGUAAACCUCUUUCAGCAGGGACGAAGCGUAAGUGACGGUACCUGCAGAAGAAGCGCCGGCCAACUACGUG
RNAcentral lists this ribosomal RNA (462 nucleotides) under uncultured bacterium. Its description in RNAcentral is "partial 16S ribosomal RNA". It matches the Rfam family "Bacterial small subunit ribosomal RNA", at positions 28 to 507 of the family's 1533-position model. The record is from RNAcentral.